AGAGUUUGAUCCUGGCUCAGGAUGAACGCUAGCGGCAGGCUUAACACAUGCAAGUCGAGGGGUAACAGGGAAAGCUUGCUUUCCGCUGACGACCGGCGAACGGGUGCGUAACACGUAUGCAACCUACCCUUUACUGGAAGAUAGCCCAGAGAAAUCUGGAUUAAUAUUCCAUAUUAUUGGACCAUGGCAUCAUGGACCAAUGAAAGCUCCGGCGGUAAAGGAUGGGCAUGCGGCCUAUUAGCUUGUUGGUGAGGUAACGGCUCACCAAGGCUGCGAUAGGUAGGGGGUCUGAGAGGAUUAUCCCCCACACUGGUACUGAGACACGGACCAGACUCCUACGGGAGGCAGCAGUGAGGAAUAUUGCGCAAUGGACGAAAGUCUGACGCAGCCAUGCCGCGUGCAGGAAGAAAGCCCUACGGGUUGUAAACUGCUUUUAUUUGGGAAGAAACCCCCUUACGUGUAAGGGGCUGACGGUACCAUUUGAAUAAGGACCGGCUAACUCCGUGCCAGCAGCCGCGGUAAUACGGAGGGUCCAAGCGUUAUCCGGAUUUAUUGGGUUUAAAGGGUUCGUAGGCGGGAUAUUAAGUCAGUGGUGAAAUCCUACAGCUUAACUGUAGAACUGCCAUUGAUACUGAUAUUCUUGAAUUCACCUGAAGUAGGCGGAACAUGACAUGUAGCGGUGAAAUGCUUAGAUAUGUCAUAGAACACCGAUUGCGAAGGCAGCUUACUAAAGUGAUAUUGACGCUAAGGAACGAAAGCGUGGGGAGCGAACAGGAUUAGAUACCCUGGUAGUCCACGCCGUAAACGAUGAUCACUCGUCAUUGGCGAUACACUGUCAGUGACCAAGCGAAAGUGUUAAGUGAUCCACCUGGGGAGUACGGUCGCAAGAUUGAAACUCAAAGGAAUUGACGGGGGCCCGCACAAGCGGUGGAGCAUGUGGUUUAAUUCGAUGAUACGCGAGGAACCUUACCAGGGCUUAAAUGCAUAUUGACAGAUUGGGAAACCAGUCCUUCUUCGGACAAUUUGCAAGGUGCUGCAUGGUUGUCGUCAGCUCGUGCCGUGAGGUGUCGGGUUAAGUCCCAUAACGAGCGCAACCCCUACCCUUAGUUGCCAGCGGAUAAUGCCGGGGACUCUGAGGGAACUGCCGGUGCAAACCGUGAGGAGGGUGGGGAUGACGUCAAAUCAUCACGGCCCUUACGUCCUGGGCUACACACGUGCUACAAUGGUGCAUACAGAGGGCAGCUACCUGGUGACAGGAUGCGAAUCUCGAAAGUGCAUCUCAGUUCGGAUCGGAGUCUGCAACUCGACUCCGUGAAGUUGGAAUCGCUAGUAAUCGCGCAUCAGCCAUGGCGCGGUGAAUACGUUCCCGGGCCUUGUACACACCGCCCGUCAAGCCAUGGAAGC
RNAcentral lists this ribosomal RNA (1404 nucleotides) under metagenome. RNAcentral's name for it is "bacterial SSU rRNA". It matches the Rfam family "Bacterial small subunit ribosomal RNA". The record is from RNAcentral.